GACGAACGCUGGCGGCGUGCUUAACACAUGCAAGUCGAACGGAAAGGCCCAGCUUGCUGGGUGCUCGAGUGGCGAACGGGUGAGUAACACGUGGGUGAUCUGCCCCUAACUUCGGGAUAAGCUUGGGAAACUGGGUCUAAUACCGGAUAGGACAAUCGUUUAGUGUCGGUUGUGGAAAGUUUUUUCGGUUAGGGAUGAGCCCGCGGCCUAUCAGCUUGUUGGUGGGGUAAUGGCCUACCAAGGCGUCGACGGGUAGCCGGCCUGAGAGGGUGGACGGCCACAUUGGGACUGAGAUACGGCCCAGACUCCUACGGGAGGCAGCAGUGGGGAAUAUUGCACAAUGGGCGCAAGCCUGAUGCAGCGACGCCGCGUGGGGGAUGACGGCCUUCGGGUCGUAAACCUCUUUCGACAGGGACGAAGCUUUGGUGACGGUACCUGUAUAAGAAGCACCGGCUAACUACGUG
RNAcentral lists this ribosomal RNA (464 nucleotides) under uncultured bacterium. Its description in RNAcentral is "partial 16S ribosomal RNA". It matches the Rfam family "Bacterial small subunit ribosomal RNA", at positions 28 to 507 of the family's 1533-position model. The record is from RNAcentral.